UUAUACAGUGAACUGCGAAUGGCUCAUUAAAUCAGUUAUCGUUUAUCCGAAGUACCUUGCUAAUUGGCAUACGCCUGGCAAAUCUCGAGCUAAUACAUGCGCUUUUGCCCGACUUCUGGGAGGGCUGUAUUUAUUAGAUAAAAAAUCAACGCUGCUUGAUGAUUUCUAAUAACUUGUCGAAUCGCAUGGCCUCGUGCCGGCGAUGGUUCAUUCAAAUUUCUGGGCUAUCAACUUUCGAUGGUAGGAUAGAGGCCGACCAUGGUUUCAACGGGUAACGGUGAAUUAAGGGUUCGGUUCCGAGAGGGAGCCUGAGAAACGGCUACCACAUCCAAGGAAGGCAGCAGGCGCGCAAAUUACCCAAUCCCGACACGGGGAGGUAGUGACAAUUUUUAACGAUGCAGGGCCCAAACGGGUCAAGUAAUUGGAAUGAGUACAAUGUAAAUACCUUAACGAGGAACAAUUGGAGGGCAAGUCUGGUGCCAGCAGCCGCGGUAAUUCCAGCUCCAAGAGCGUAUAUUAAAGUUGUUGCAGUUAAAAAGCUCGUAGUUGAACCUUGGGUUUUGGAGGGAGGUCCACCUCACGGUGAGUACUUCCAUAUCCAAGACCUUUCCUCUGCUUCCUCGCAAGAGGCAGCAGAAUAUUACUUUGAGUAAAUGAGAGUGUUCAAAGCAGGCGCACGCUUGAAUCUGUUAGCAUGGAAUAAUAGAAUAGGACGCAUGGUUCUAUUUUGUUGGUUUCUAGGACCAUCGUAAUGAUUAAUAGGGACGGUCGGGGGCAUCAGUAUUCAGUUGUCAGAGGUGAAAUUCUUGGAUUUACUGAAGACUAACUACUGCGAAAGCAUUUGCCAAGGACGAAAACAUUAAUCAAGAACGAAAGUUAGGGGAUCGAAGAUGAUCAGAUCCCGUCGUAGUCUUAACCAUAAACUAUGCCGACUAGGGAUCGGCCGGCGUUCAUCUAGUGACGCGCUCGGCACCUUACGAGAAAUCAAAGUUUUGGUUCUGGGGGGAGUAUGGUCGCAAGGCUGAAACUUAAAGGAAUUGACGGAAGGGCACCACCAGGAGUGGAGCCUGCGGCUUAAUUUGACUCAACACGGGGAAACUCACCAGGUCCAGACACAAUAAGGAUUGACAGAUUGAGAGCUCAAACUUGAUUUUGUGGGUGGUGGUGCAUGGCCGUUCUUAGUUGGUGGAGUGAUUUGUCUGCUUAAUUGCGAUAACG
RNAcentral lists this ribosomal RNA (1218 nucleotides) under Candidozyma auris. Its description in RNAcentral is "SSU rRNA". It matches the Rfam family "Eukaryotic small subunit ribosomal RNA", at positions 74 to 1333 of the family's 1831-position model. Lineage: Eukaryota; Fungi; Ascomycota; Pichiomycetes; Serinales; Metschnikowiaceae. The record is from RNAcentral.